GACAAACAGGCCAAAUUAAGUUAUAUUGGUAUAAAAGGAGGUAAAAAACUUAUUGUGUGAGAAAAUUAAUUUUUUAUAAGGAGGUGGAAUUUGUAUAUAAAAAUUUUUGUUGUUUAUUUCUUUUUGUUUGAUGCCUCGAAAAUUAAAGGAGAGACCGGGAUUAGAUACCCCGUUAUUUUUUUUGUAAAUUUUGAUUUGCAGUUUACCGGAGUAUUACGGGUUGGAUAAAUUAAUCAUGUUGUUAGUGAAAUAAAUUUAUUUAGUUACUUAAAACUCAAAAAACUUGGCGGUGCCUUAAUUCCUUCCAGGGGAACCUGUCCUAUAAUCGAUGAUCCACGUUUUAUCUUACUUUUUUUAGGGGAUAUAUUUCAAUUCUUCAGUUUGUAUACCGUCGUCGUCAGAUUACCUUUGAGAGUUAAAAAGUUGUCGGUUAAAGUAAGAGAGAUUCUCUAUUUUUAUUGGUAGGAAUAGGGGUCUCAGUUUUUGAUGUCAGAUCAAGGUGCAGCUAAUGAAAAAGUAGAGAUGGGUUACAAUAUAUAGUUUAUAUUAUGGAUAUAAAUUUGUAAUAGUUUAAUGAAAGUGGACUUGGGAGUAAUGUAAAAUUUUUAGUAAAUUAGAAUGUUUAUGUGAUAAAGGUACUAAGGUGCGC
Molecule: ribosomal RNA, 649 nt
Filed under: Jujubinus geographicus
Lineage: Eukaryota; Metazoa; Mollusca; Gastropoda; Trochida; Trochidae
Description: partial 12S ribosomal RNA
Source: RNAcentral